CAAGGUCAGACAAGCACGUGUUCGGCUGUUAUGGCUGCCGAAAUGGGGAGCUGGUCCCUUCAGUUUUUCUCAACAGAGUUUCUCUGUGUAACUUUGGAGCCAGCCUGUCCUGGAACUCUCUUUGUAGACCAAGCUGGCCUCGACUCACCGAUAGCCACCUGUUUUUGCCUUCUGAGUGCUGGGAUUAAAGGUGUGCAGUCUUUCAGCCUUAAUUCAGUAGCUGAUGGAAGCAGAAACAGACACCCACAGCUAAAUACUGAACUGAACUCCUGGAAUCCAGUUGCAAAGAGGGAGGAGUGACGAGCAAAGGGGUCAAGACCAGACUGGAGAAACCCACAGAAAAGCCGACCUGAACAAAGGGGAGCUCAUGGAUCCCAGACUGUUAGCUGAGAACCAGCAUAGGACCCAUCCAGAUGCCCUGAACGUGGGUGUCAGUUAGGAGGCCUGGGCAGUCUAUGGGGCCUCUGGCAGUGGAUCAGUAUUUAUCCCUAGUAUAUGAAUAGACUUUGGGAGUCCAUUCCACACAGAGGGAUGCUCUCUCAGCCUGGACGCACAGGGGAGGGCCUGGGCCUGGGCCCUGCUCUAAAUGAUAUGACAGACUGUGAAGAUCCCCACGGAAGGCCUCACCCUCCCUGGGGAGCAGAAAGGGGAUGGGAUAGGGGGUCGGUGGGGAGGUGGGGGAGGAGGGGAAGGAGAGGGAACUGGGAUUGACAUGUAAACAAGCUUGUUUCUAAUUUAAAUAAAAAAGAAAAAAG
RNAcentral lists this long non-coding RNA (755 nucleotides) under Cricetulus griseus (Chinese hamster). RNAcentral describes it as "lncRNA (ENSCGRG00015040966.1)". Lineage: Eukaryota; Metazoa; Chordata; Mammalia; Rodentia; Cricetidae. The record is from RNAcentral.